Molecule: non-coding RNA, 1062 nt
Organism: Arvicanthis niloticus (Nile rat)
Lineage: Eukaryota; Metazoa; Chordata; Mammalia; Rodentia; Muridae
Source: RefSeq, a predicted model, not a curated record
UGUGUAUGAGUGUUGUGUCUGCACGUAUGUCUACACCACAUGUGUAUAGUAACCAUGGAGAUAAGAAGAGGGUGUCAGAGUCCCCAUGAGUGGAGUUUCAAAGAGUUGUAAGUCACCAUGUUGGGUACAGGGAUUUAAACCCAGUCAUUCAGAGGAGGGGCCACUUCGCUUGGCUACCUUGACAGCCUGUGGUUUUUAUUUGGGUGCUGGAUGGGUACAGGUGGUAAGGAGAAAAGCAGGUCAGUGUGGAUUCACCUCAGCAGGAAGAUGAGGUCUUAAGAAGCCUGCUGGCUGAACCAAGACUGAAGGCUUAAUUCUAAACUCAAGAGAUAACCCUCUGGUCACAAAUCAUUCAGAUUGGGCCACAUUCCCAAGCUGCAGAGCUCUGGGAUCUGUAACUGCAAUAUGACAUUAAGAACAGUGAGUCCAUGAACAGAUGCCCUGGUGAUGAGCCUAGGCCUGCAACGUUGCAGCUGUUUAAUUUAGGACAAGUCACUUCCUCCUGCUCUAGUUUCUUUUUCUAGACUGGCAUAACUCUACUUCACAUACAGAUGAGGAAACUUGGUGAGUGACAGGCACAUGUUUCAUCUCUUCACUGCACCCUGAUGCAUUGUUUUUAUGAGUGAGCUAUGAAGAUCUCACUUACAUAUCCAUUGUCAUCAGGCAACCAUUGAGAUAAUGAAUAUGGUUAUGAAGCACACACUGCAUUCCGUGUUGAGGGUACAAAGGUAAGUGAGUCACUGUUUCUGCUCUUGUGGGACUCUGCCAAAGAGGAAGUGACAGAUUUUGCUUUUGUUAUGAAUUUGAAUCCCCCCCGACCCCCAUUGCCUUCACUUGGCCUUAAGAGUGUACUUGUUAUACGGCCUGUGCCAAGUAGGCCCUACACGAAGUUAGCUGAGACAGAGCCUUUGCUCUUUGCGUGUUUACACGUCUUGACAGACAUAAUAGACCUACGGAGAUGACUAAUUAACCAUAUGGGUGAUGACAAAUGUUCUCAUUAACUCCAACAACCCACUAAUUCAGGAAUCUCAAAAUCUGAAGAAUAUCAUCAAUCCAAUAAGU